This 554-nucleotide transfer RNA is filed under the name uncultured cyanobacterium. Its description in RNAcentral is "partial 16S-23S ribosomal RNA intergenic spacer". The stretch from base 213 to 285 matches the Rfam family "tRNA". The record is from RNAcentral. Lineage: Bacteria; Bacillati; Cyanobacteriota.
CAGGGAGACAACAAAAUGUUUAAUAUUAAUUUUGUCACCUUAGGUCGAUCGGUACCUCACAUUCUUAAAUUUAUUUAAGGAUUUUAUUUCCUAAGUUUUUUCUAGGUCACACCCAUUACUUUUCCUGGGCCAUUAGCUCAGGUGGUUAGAGCGCACCCCUGAUAAGGGUGAGGUCCCUGGUUCAAGUCCAGGAUGGCCCAUAUCUCAAUGUUGGGGGUAUAGCUCAGUUGGUAGAGCGCCUGCUUUGCAAGCAGGAUGUCAGCGGUUCGAGUCCGCUUACCUCCACUGAUUACCACCUCUUUCAUAUUCUAUUGAAAGGAAAUGUUUUGAGAUGUGAUCAAAUUCUGAACGAAUCUAGCUUCCUAAUGAAAUUAUUCAGAUAAAUCAUUAAGAUGCUGGACUCAUUGAAUUAAUUUCAUUGUUUUCAGAGAACCUUGACAACUGCAUAGAUUAUUUUAAAGACAAUAAGCAUCUUUAAUGAUGCAGAUUUAUUAUUUGUGCGAAUGCAUUAAUAACAAUUCUAUUAAGCUGAUGCUUCAAUUUUUGAAGUUAUU